RNAcentral lists this transfer RNA (82 nucleotides) under Candidatus Buchananbacteria bacterium RIFCSPHIGHO2_01_FULL_39_8. RNAcentral describes it as "tRNA-Leu". It matches the Rfam family "tRNA". From Rfam's summary of the family: Transfer RNA (tRNA) molecules are approximately 80 nucleotides in length. Their secondary structure includes four short double-helical elements and three loops (D, anti-codon, and T loops). Lineage: Bacteria; Candidatus Buchananiibacteriota. The record is from RNAcentral.
GCCGAAGUGGUGAAAUUGGUAGACACGUACGGUUCAGGGCCGUAUGGGGCAACCCAUGGGAGUUCGAGUCUCCCCUUCGGCA